RNAcentral lists this ribosomal RNA (640 nucleotides) under Corynebacterium sp. 201220668. RNAcentral's name for it is "bacterial SSU rRNA". It matches the Rfam family "Bacterial small subunit ribosomal RNA", at positions 66 to 716 of the family's 1533-position model. The record is from RNAcentral. Lineage: Bacteria; Bacillati; Actinomycetota; Actinomycetes; Mycobacteriales; Corynebacteriaceae.
ACGGAAAGGCCCCUUGCUUGCAAGGGGUACUCGAGUGGCGAACGGGUGAGUAACACGUGGGUGAUCUGCCUUGUACUCUGGGAUAAGCUUGGGAAACUGGGUCUAAUACCGGAUAGUAGCCGCCUUUAGUGUGGUGGUUGGAAAGUUUUUUCGGUGCAAGAUGAGCUCGCGGCCUAUCAGCUUGUUGGUGGGGUAAUGGCCUACCAAGGCGUCGACGGGUAGCCGGCCUGAGAGGGUGUACGGCCACAUUGGGACUGAGAUACGGCCCAGACUCCUACGGGAGGCAGCAGUGGGGAAUAUUGCACAGUGGGCGGAAGCCUGAUGCAGCGACGCCGCGUGGGGGAUGACGGCCUUCGGGUUGUAAACUCCUUUCGACAGGGACGAAGCUUUUGGGACGGUCCCUGGUAAAAAAGCCCCGGCUAAUUUAGUGCCAGCCGCCCGGGUAAUACCUAGGGGGCCAGCCUUUGCCGGAAUUAAUGGGCCUAAAGGGCUUGUAGGGGGUUUGGCCCCUCCUUUGGAAAAUUCCGGGGCUUAACUCCGGGCGGGCCGGCCAAACGGGCAAAAUUUGGGGGCUUGAGGGGAGACUGGAAUUCCUGGGGGAGCCGGGAAAUGCCCAAAUUUCAGGAGGAAAACCCAUGGC